GAUGAAGAACGCAGCGAAAUGCGAUAAGUAAUGCGAAUUGCAGAAUUCAGUGAGUCAUCGAAUCUUUGAACGCACAUUGCGCCCUGUGGUAUUCCGCAGGGCAUGCCUGUUCGAGCGUCAUUUCAACCCUCAAGCCCCGCUUGGUGUUGGGCCCCGCCCGCUGUGGCCGGCCCUAAAGACAGUGGCGGCGCCGCCUGGCCCUCAGCGUAGUACAUCUCUCGCUCCAGGGUCCGGUGGCCGCCUGCCAGAACCCCCCAACUCUGUGGUUGACCUCGGAUCAGGUAGGAAUACCCGCUGAACUUAAGCAUAUCAAUAAGCGGAGGA
This 324-nucleotide unclassified non-coding RNA is filed under the name soil metagenome. Its description in RNAcentral is "partial contains 5.8S ribosomal RNA, internal transcribed spacer 2, and large subunit ribosomal RNA". The stretch from base 1 to 120 matches the Rfam family "5.8S ribosomal RNA", at positions 35 to 154 of the family's 154-position model. The record is from RNAcentral.